This is a long non-coding RNA of Tachysurus fulvidraco (yellow catfish), 537 nucleotides long. RefSeq lists it as uncharacterized. NCBI's taxonomy places the organism in Eukaryota, Metazoa, Chordata, Actinopteri, Siluriformes, Bagridae. The record is from RefSeq and is a predicted model, not a curated record. The transcript has 5 exons.
AUGACUCUGCUAUCUGAUAUCAUGAAGAAGAGAGACUAUGAAAGGAGGUCUGAAGGUGUUUCUCCUUCUCUUCUCUGCGUGGAUCUUCAUCAUGUGGACCUUCGUCUCUGUCUCUUUACCUUCCUCCAGCUGUACAGCUUCAUACUCACGUGGCUUAAAUAACUGGAGUAACACGUGAUCCCGCCUUCUGCGUUGUGAUUGGUUCUCAAACAUGAAGCAGCCCUCUGAUUGGAUGGUGUGCUGUCUGGAGACUCCUUUGAGUUAUUAGGAUGUAAAGUGGCAGGAACGUCGGAGCGGUUUCUGUUCAUCAAGAGUUUAUCAGCCUGGAUAUCAACAGUCUCAGAUUCUGAUGCUUCCCGUUUGGUCGAAGUCUUUAGUCCAAGAUGGAAACGCAUCAGGAGUCCAAGAUCUUGCAUCAUGCUUGAGGAACAUCCUUACAUGUGUUAAACAUUUGAAUUUUGGAUUCUUCUCUUUUCAAACUGCAUGUUGACUUGAUUCCUUACAUUAAAAAAUAAAGUUUUUUAUUUUAAUUCAGAA